Molecule: ribosomal RNA, 425 nt
Filed under: uncultured prokaryote
Description: bacterial SSU rRNA
Rfam family: Bacterial small subunit ribosomal RNA
Source: RNAcentral
UCGAGAAUCUUUGUCAAUGGACGAAAGUCUGAACAAGCGACGCCGCGUGCGGGAUGAAGGCCUUCGGGUUGUAAACCGCUUUCGGAGGGAAGGAAAUUUUGACUGAACCUCAAAAGAAGGACGGGCUAAGUUCGUGCCAGCAGCCGCGGUAAGACGAACCGUCCAAACGUUAUUCGGUAUCACUGGGCUUAAAGAGUCCGUAGGCGGCCAUGUAGGUCAGAUGUGAAAUCCCACAGCUCAACUGUGGAACUGCGUUUGAAACCACAUGGCUUGAGGGAGAUAGAGGUGAGCGGAACAGAUGGUGGAGCGGUGAAAUGCGUUGAUAUCAUCUGGAACACCGGUGGCGAAAGCGGCUCACUGGAUCUUUUCUGACGCUGAGGGACGAAAGCUAGGGUAGCGAACGGGAUUAGAUACCCCCGUAGUCC